Molecule: ribosomal RNA, 433 nt
Filed under: uncultured bacterium
Lineage: Bacteria
Description: bacterial SSU rRNA
Rfam family: Bacterial small subunit ribosomal RNA
Source: RNAcentral
AACGAACGCUGGCGGCAUGCCUAACACAUGCAAGUCGAACGAGACCUUCGGGUCUAGUGGCGCACGGGUGCGUAACGCGUGGGAAUCUGCCCUUGGGUUCGGAAUAACAGAGAGAAAUUUCUGCUAAUACCGGAUGAUGACGUAAGUCCAAAGAUUUAUCGCCCAAGGAUGAGCCCGCGUGAGAUUAGCUAGUUGGUGAGGUAAAGGCUCACCAAGGCGACGAUCUCUAGCUGGUCUGAGAGGAUGAUCAGCCACACUGGGACUGAGACACGGCCCAGACUCCUACGGGAGGCAGCAGUGGGGAAUAUUGGACAAUGGGCGAAAGCCUGAUCCAGCAAUGCCGCGUGAGUGAUGAAGGCCUUAGGGUUGUAAAGCUCUUUUACCCGGGAUGAUAAUGACAGUACCGGGAGAAUAAGCUCCGGCUAACUCCGUG